AGUGAACGCUGGCGAUAGGCCUAACACAUGCAAGUCGAACGGCAGCACAGUAAGAGCUUGCUCUUACGGGUGGCGAGUGGCGGACGGGUGAGGAAUACAUCGGAAUCUACUUUUUCGUGGGGGAUAACGUAGGGAAACUUACGCUAAUACCGCAUACGACCUACGGGUGAAAGCAGGGGAUCUUCUGACCUUGCGCGAUUGAAUGAGCCGAUGUCGGAUUAGCUAGUUGGCGGGGUAAAGGCCCACCAAGGCGACGAUCCGUAGCUGGUCUGAGAGGAUGAUCAGACACACUGGAACUGAGAAACGGUCCAGACUCCUACGGGAGGCAGCAGUGGGGAAUAUUGGACAAUGGGCGCGAGCCUGAUCCAGCCAUACCGCGUGGGUGAAGAAGGCCUUAGGGUUGUAAAGCCCUUUUGUUGGGAAAGAAAAGCAGCAGGUUAAUACCCCGCUGUUCUGACGGUACCCAAAGAAUAAGCACCGGCUAACUUCGUG
This 492-nucleotide ribosomal RNA is filed under the name uncultured bacterium. RNAcentral's name for it is "partial 16S ribosomal RNA". It matches the Rfam family "Bacterial small subunit ribosomal RNA", at positions 29 to 507 of the family's 1533-position model. The record is from RNAcentral.